Non-coding RNA from Rattus norvegicus (Norway rat), 3128 nucleotides. The record is from RefSeq and is a predicted model, not a curated record. Lineage: Eukaryota; Metazoa; Chordata; Mammalia; Rodentia; Muridae.
GUGCCGGGAAGGGUGGGGAGGUGGGGUGCAUGGCUCUUCCCCUCAGGGUUAUCAGGUUCUUCUCUACAAACCUGGAGGGAACAAAUUCCUGUCAUCUGAGGCUAUUUGAUCUCCCUUGGUCACAGAAGCGAAAGCACGCGGUUGGGAUUGGGAGUUUUCAAUUUGAGCUUGAGAAUUGGGAUUGGAAGAGUCAUGCCACAGGGAGAACCAAGGUCUGACCUUCUGUGCGUGUCAAAACCUUUCUGGAAUGGCUCUCUCUCGUUACCUUCUCCCCAGCCUGGGAGAGAGUCCAGAUUUUGAAAGUCCAGUGUGGGAACAGGAGAGACAGCUCAGCAGUUAAGAGCACUUGCUGCUCUUCCAGAGGACCAGGAUUUGAUUCCCAGCACCAACAUGGCGGGGCUCACAAUCACCCAUUGCUCCUGUUUGGGGACAUCUGACACUCUCCUGAGUUCCACAAGCACUGCACACAUUCAGCGCACAUGCACAGACGCAGCCAAAACGCCCACACACCUAAAAUUAAAAUGAAGACAUUGGUUUUUGUUGUUGUUUUGUUUUGUUUUGUUUUUAAAGUAAAGUGUGGUGCGAUUCUGUCUGCAUGUGCCUGCUGUGGCCGCCCAGAGGCUUACAGGUACGCUAGACACGCAGGGCGGGUGGCAGCUGGCAUCUGUGGAGUUGAGGUGUCUGACACCCAGGCUAUGGUGACUCACCCACAGAAGCAAACACUCCGCUGAGGUUUUUAGUAAUGGUGAAGGAAAACUCAUUGCACCAAGAGGAGCGCUCGCCUGCUGCCUCUGCAACUCUUCCAAAGCCUGAGCAGGCACAGCUCACAGAUGUCUGUCUGUCCGUCUUUUCAGGUCAAUAAGGAGAUUGCGGAAAGCACGUCUGCCCACACUCACAGCCAGUAAGCUGCCAGGUUGGAUCCAAAGCCCAGGGCCCUCACACCCAUAGGGGCGAGAAACAGGUGGCCAACACCUGACAUUCCCAGUGGAUCUCCGGGGACAGCCAUCGAAGGCAUGGUGAGAGGAGGGAAUGGAGGGAAAGUGGUCCUAACAGAGUGCUGAGGUACCGAGAAAACGGAUGAGCUUCCUAGACAGUAACGGAAAACAGUGGCUCCUCAGUGCCCACCACAGCUGCCAGUCCUCCAGGUGCUGCUUUCUCGCUUUCCUUCCCUGACCGCAUCCCGUCCCUUCCCCCUCCUUGCUGAAUCACGACUGCAGAGCCUGCAGGGUGUACCCUUAACACCAGCCCUCCCGAGUCACACCAAGUUUAACACAUAGGCCGUGGUGUCCCUGUUACAGGCUGGCUGACUGAAGGCAGCGAGUCUGACAGAGGAAAGCGUGGGAUAGAACAGAAGUGUGGUGACCCACUGGGAGCCAAAGCAAGAGGCCAGGGAGGUUGGGACCUCAGAGGGGAGCCCCCUGGCUGGGACAGAGAAAGGCCGAUGUGGGAGGUGGGAACCUUAGCGACAGCCACCAGAAAACAGCAAAGACAGAAAGGGGUCACACUACACCCAUUAUCCACUAGACAUGAGGACACCUUGGGAGUGUGAGUGGACAUCCUGGAUACGUGAUGCCUAUAUGCUAUUUAAAGAUGUGACCCCAUCCCUGGGACAGCCAGCCUCUGGUGGAGCGCAGAACUUGUGAUGGUUUGUAUAUGCUUGUCCCAGGGAGUGGCACUAUUAGAAUGUGUUGCCAUGUUGGAGUGGGGCGUGGCCCUGUUGGAGUGGGUGUGGCCUUGUAGGAGUGGGUGUGGCCUUGUAGGAGUGGGUGUGGCCUUGUAGGAGUGGGUGUGGCCUUGUGGGAGUAGGUGUGGCCUUAUGGAGUAGGUGUGUCACUGUGAAUGUGGGCUUUAUGGAUAAUUCAACAGAUAUUCUCAGGGUCAGGAUGACCUCUAGCUGGUUCUUCCCUUGGCCUGGUGCUAAACUGCCAAGAAAUCUAUUAAAAAUAACAGGUUGACCUAUGGAUACUUGGCAGGUCUGUGAUGUUCCAACAGAAGCCACUCUGGGUCCUCUGAAAGUGGGAAGUGGUAGCUUGCCAAGCCUCUCAGAACAAUUUUGUCAGCCCCAAGGGCUCACCUCAGACAUGCAUCCAGGGCUCUCACCACCAGGAUACUGUCUGCAUCCACCAAGGAGACCACAGAGAGAGUCACCCUGCCCUGGAAGGAAACAGAGAGCCUCAACAAUGAGGGCUCCCUGGAGUCUGCCACAGCUCCCGAGGGUCUCCAGGACUUCCAGAUGAGACAUCUUCGACCUUAGAGUCUCCAUGGUGUGACUCAACACAAAAAGCCCCCCAGCCACCUCCUACAGACAAACAAAAGACACAGACAGACAGAAGAUGCUUUGGAGGGGCGUGCAGGCUGUGAGAUAGGGGUCAGACGAAACUAGCAGGUCUAAGUUUGCAAAGGCAAGAACCCCACAUCAUAAUGAGUUAGGGGUGGGAGUGGGACUGGGUCUCCUCCGGGAUGACAAAGGCUUCGAAACUAACGGGAGAUGCUCACCACAAGAUGGUGGAUUAUAUCAGUCAACCUCAGUGUCACGCAUGCUGAUCCGCUGCUCCAGCCGUUACACAAGGCUCCUUCUAGAGAGGUGAUUGAGGUCAUGUCAUUUCUCACUUCCAUUCAAAGUGAAACAAACAAACAAAGAGUUAGAGCCCUAAGCCCAGUUAGUGGAGCCCACCUCUAACCACAGGAUUUGGGAGGCUGAGGCUGAGGUAGGAGGGUCUCUGAGAGUUUGAGGACAUCCUCAUGUACAUAGUGAGACCCUGUUCCCAAAACAAACAAAAAGUUAAAGACCUUGUGAUGGUUUGUAUGUGCUCAGCCCAAGGAGUGGCACUAUUAGAAGGUGUGGCCUUUUGGAGUGGGUGUGGCCUUGUUGGAGUGGGCGUGGCCUUUGUUGGAGUGGGCGUGGCCUUUGUUGGAGUGGGUGUGUCACUGUGGUCAUGGGCUUUAAGACCCUCAUCCUGACUGACUGGAAGCCAGUUUUCCACUAGCAGCCUUCAGGUGAAGAUGUAGAACUCUCAGCUUGUCCUGCCGCAUGCCUGCCUGGAUGCUGCCAUGUUCCCACCUUGAUGAUAAUGGACUGAACCUCUGAACCUGUAAGCCAGCCCCAAUUAAAUGUUGUCCUUGUAAGA